RNAcentral lists this ribosomal RNA (489 nucleotides) under uncultured bacterium. Its description in RNAcentral is "partial 16S ribosomal RNA". It matches the Rfam family "Bacterial small subunit ribosomal RNA", at positions 29 to 507 of the family's 1533-position model. The record is from RNAcentral.
GUGAACGCUGGCGGUAGGCCUAACACAUGCAAGUCGCACGGCAGCACAGGAGAGCUUGCUCUCUAGGUGGCGAGUGGCGGACGGGUGAGGAAUACAUCGGAAUCUGCCCAGUCGUGGGGGAUAACGUAGGGAAACUUACGCUAAUACCGCAUACGACCUUCGGGUGAAAGAGGGGGAUCGCAAGACCUCUCGCGAUUGGAUGAGCCGAUGUCGGAUUAGCUAGUUAGCGGGGUAAUGGCCCACCAAGGCGACGAUCCGUAGCUGGUCUGAGAGGAUGAUCAGCCACACUGGAACUGAGACACGGUCCAGACUCCUACGGGAGGCAGCAGUGGGGAAUAUUGGACAAUGGGCGCAAGCCUGAUCCAGCCAUACCGCGUGGGUGAAGAAGGCCUUCGGGUUGUAAAGCCCUUUUGUUGGGAAAGAAAUCUUUCAGGCUAAUACCCUGGGAGGAUGACGGUACCCAAAGAAUAAGCACCGGCUAACUUCGUG